AACGAACGCUGGCGGCAGGCCUAACACAUGCAAGUCGAGCGCCCCGCAAGGGGAGCGGCGGACGGGUGAGUAACGCGUGGGAACGUGCCCUUUGCUACGGAAUAGCCCCGGGAAACUGGGAGUAAUACCGUAUAAGCCCUACGGGGGAAAGAUUUAUCGGCAAAGGAUCGGCCCGCGUUGGAUUAGGUAGUUGGUGGGGUAAUGGCCUACCAAGCCGACGAUCCAUAGCUGGUUUGAGAGGAUGAACAGCCACACUGGGACUGAGACACGGCCCAGACUCCUACGGGAGGCAGCAGUGGGGAAUCUUAGACAAUGGGCGCAAGCCUGAUCUAGCCAUGCCGCGUGAGCGAUGAAGGCCUUAGGGUUGUAAAGCUCUUUCGUGGGGGAAGAUAAUGACUGUACCCCAAGAAGAAGCCCCGGCUAACUCCGUGCCAGCCGCCGCUGUAA
RNAcentral lists this ribosomal RNA (447 nucleotides) under uncultured bacterium. RNAcentral's name for it is "partial 16S ribosomal RNA". It matches the Rfam family "Bacterial small subunit ribosomal RNA", at positions 29 to 523 of the family's 1533-position model. The record is from RNAcentral.